UAGGGAAUCUUCGGCAAUGGACGAAAGUCUGACCGAGCAACGCCGCGUGAGUGAAGAAGGUUUUCGGAUCGUAAAACUCUGUUGUUAGAGAAGAACAAGGACGUUAGUAACUGAACGUCCCCUGACGGUAUCUAACCAGAAAGCCACGGCUAACUACGUGCCAGCAGCCGCGGUAAUACGUAGGUGGCAAGCGUUGUCCGGAUUUAUUGGGCGUAAAGCGAGCGCAGGCGGUUUCUUAAGUCUGAUGUGAAAGCCCCCGGCUCAACCGGGGAGGGUCAUUGGAAACUGGGAGACUUGAGUGCAGAAGAGGAGAGUGGAAUUACAUGUGUAGCGGUGAAAUGCGUAGAUAUAUGGAGGAACACCAGUGGCGAAGGCGGCUCUCUGGUCUGUAACUGACGCUGAGGCUAGAAAGCGUGGGGAGCAAACAGG
Molecule: ribosomal RNA, 429 nt
Filed under: Gemmatimonadota bacterium
Lineage: Bacteria; Pseudomonadati; Gemmatimonadota
Description: Gemmatimonadetes bacterium partial 16S ribosomal RNA
Rfam family: Bacterial small subunit ribosomal RNA
Source: RNAcentral